This 78-nucleotide transfer RNA is filed under the name Allocebus trichotus (hairy-eared dwarf lemur). Its description in RNAcentral is "tRNA-Tyr". The stretch from base 14 to 78 matches the Rfam family "tRNA". From Rfam's summary of the family: Transfer RNA (tRNA) molecules are approximately 80 nucleotides in length. Their secondary structure includes four short double-helical elements and three loops (D, anti-codon, and T loops). Lineage: Eukaryota; Metazoa; Chordata; Mammalia; Primates; Cheirogaleidae. The record is from RNAcentral.
AACAUAAGUAGUGGGUAAAAUGGCCGAGUAGGUAUUAGACUGUAAAUCUAAAGACAGGGGUUGAAUCCUCUUUUUACC